This 253-nucleotide ribosomal RNA is filed under the name uncultured bacterium. RNAcentral describes it as "partial 16S ribosomal RNA". It matches the Rfam family "Bacterial small subunit ribosomal RNA", at positions 524 to 776 of the family's 1533-position model. The record is from RNAcentral.
UACGGAGGGUGCAAGCGUUGUCCGGAUUUAUUGGGUUUAAAGGGUGCGUAGGCGGCCCGUUAAGUCAGUGGUGAAAGCCUCCAGCUCAACUGGAGAACUGCCAUUGAUACUGGCGGGCUUGAGUACAGACGAGGUAGGCGGAAUUGAUUGUGUAGCGGUGGAAUGCAUAGAUACAAUCAAGAACACCGAUUGCGUAGGCAGCUUACUAGGCUGUAACUGACGCUGAGGCACGAAAGCGUGGGGAGCGAACAGG